AUAUAUAUAAAUAUAAAUUAAGUAUGUAAAUUUUGGAGAUUUAUUGAGAUAAAAUCUUUU
Molecule: transfer RNA, 60 nt
Filed under: Dermacentor nitens
Lineage: Eukaryota; Metazoa; Arthropoda; Arachnida; Ixodida; Ixodidae
Description: tRNA-Pro
Source: RNAcentral